Molecule: ribosomal RNA, 497 nt
Filed under: uncultured bacterium
Lineage: Bacteria
Description: partial 16S ribosomal RNA
Rfam family: Bacterial small subunit ribosomal RNA
Source: RNAcentral
GACGAACGCUGGCGGCGUGCCUAAUACAUGCAAGUUGAGCGAUGAAGAUUGGUGCUUGCACCAAUUUGAAGAGCAGCGAACGGGUGAGUAACGCGUGGGGAAUCUGCCUUUGAGCGGGGGACAACAUUUGGAAACGAAUGCUAAUACCGCAUAACAACUUUAAACAUAAGUUUUAAGUUUGAAAGAUGCAAUUGCAUCACUCAAAGAUGAUCCCGCGUUGUAUUAGCUAGUUAGUGAGGUAAAGGCUCACCAAGGCGAUGAUACAUAGCCGACCUGAGAGGGUGAUCGGCCACAUUGGGACUGAGACACGGCCCAAACUCCUACGGGAGGCAGCAGUAGGGAAUCUUCGGCAAUGGACGAAAGUCUGACCGAGCAACGCCGCGUGAGUGAAGAAGGUUUUCGGAUCGUAAAACUCUGUUGGCAGAGAAGAACGUUGGUGAGAGUGGAAAGCUCAUCAAGUGACGGUAACUACCCAGAAAGGGACGGCUAACUACGUG